Molecule: long non-coding RNA, 2588 nt
Organism: Canis lupus familiaris (dog)
Lineage: Eukaryota; Metazoa; Chordata; Mammalia; Carnivora; Canidae
Exons: 3
Source: RefSeq, a predicted model, not a curated record
GGAGCGGCGCGGAGGACGCAGGCGCGAGCUAAGGAGCGUCGUCUGGUUUCCGCCCUUCCGCUAACCAACCGCCAUUCUUCCCGAGGAAUCGGCGCGUGGUAGCCGCUGGCGUCCUGUCCUCAGUCAGACUGCGGGGGAACUUGGGCGGCGCCCUUGGCGUUUGUCCGCUCCCUGUUGCUCACUGCUCUAUCUGUUGGCCGGCGCUUCCGCUGCUUGGCUUCGGCGGUUUUCCUUCACCUCAGGUACAGGCGUCGCAGCAAACGUAGUCCAAGGCCGUCACGUGCUGUUGGUGUGCUGGGCGCAGUGCUAGCACAGUGGGGGCGCGUUCACUCUACGUAAUCCUCACCACGGUCCUCUGAAGUCAGUAGUAUUGCCGUUGUCAUCCUCCAGAAGAGGAAACGAAGACUUUCUCCGUGACUACCGUGACGAAAGUGAAAACUAGUGAUCUACAAAGAUGGGAUUAUGGAAGAAUAUGAUGAGUCAGUUAAAUUAUGGCAAAAAGUGAAAAGAGAGAAUAUAUACUUAUCAACUACAGAAGAUACAAACAUAGUUUAAAAUUUAUGAGGAAACAGUUAAGUAUCUCCUGCAAGCAGUUGGAAAUAGAGACACAAGACAGAAACUAAGCCCUGGCAUGGCUCAGAAUGAAAAGCGAAAUACAAAAAAUAUAAAAUACAAAUUCAAGAAGGAAAAUGAAAGAGAUACUGUAGAAAUAGUGUAAGCAACAAGAGCAAUAAAUAUGAAAAUCUCGAAGUUAUUAAGUUUCUCGAGAAAGCUAAACCAUCAAAAUCGGGACAUGACAGAAAAUAGACAGACUGAUAACCGCUGAAGAAGUUGACCGAGUAAAUGGUAAUUUCCUCCCAAAACAACUCUAGGCUUUCAAUUCCCUCAUUUGCUGUCCUUCAAGACUCUCUUGGCUAUUCUUGACCGUUUGCUCUUUCACUUAAAUUUUUAAAUCAGCCUUUUCACAUUUCAAAAUAAAUCUUGUCAUUAUUGUGAAUGGAACUGCAUUGAAUUUGUAAACUAACCGAGAAGAAUUGUCUCUGUGAAUUUAAGUUAUCCUGCCCACGACGAAAGCUGUUAUUUAAGUCUUCUUUAAUGUCUUUUAAUUAGGACAUCUUUUUUUCUGUAAAGAUCCUACACAUCUUUUGUUAGAUGAAUCAUUGAAUAACUUACUUUGGGGGUAUAACUUUAUAAAUUACAUGUUCUAAUUUUGUUGGUAUAUAGGAAUGUAAUUGAUUUAUACAUUGAUCUCCUAUCCAGCAAGAUACUAAACUUAGUUAUUUAUUCUCUUGGAUUCUCUGUAUAACUGUAGGCAGUUACACAGUGUGUGAAUAAUAAUAAAUUUAUUUGUAUUUCCAGUAAAGGUGAUUUUUUUCUUUUAAGAAUUUUAACACAUGUAUAGAUAUGUGUAAUAAUUGCCAUACUCAGGACAGAGAAUCGUUUAAUCACCCCCAUCCAAUCGACUUCCUGCUAUUCCUUUGUACUCACCCCAACAAUCCAUUAAUCCAGGCCACUGCUGAUCUGCUCUCCAUCCCUAUAGGGAUGAAAAUAUCAUAUAAAUUGUUUUUUUGAUAAUACCAUGUAAGUGGAAUCAUAUUGUAUAUAACCAUUUGAACUACUAUCAUGCUUUUGAGAUUCAUCCAAGUUGCUGUGUGUACCAAAAGUUCGUUCCUUUUUAUUCCUGAGUAAUACUCUGUUAUAUGAAGGUGCCACAGUUUGUCAUUCAUCUGUUGUUGUUUCCAGUUUAUGGUGAUUAUGAAGGGAGCUUCUAUAAAUAUUUGUGUUUCGGUUUUUGUGGGAGCAUGUCUUUAUAUCCUCUAGGGAAGAUACAUGGGAGUGGGGUUUCUGGAUCAUACUGUAAGUAAAUUGCCAAGUGAUGUUCCAGGAGGGUUGUAUUGGAGUUCUGGGUGGUUCAGUUGGUUAAGCAUCUGACUCUUGAUCUUGUUAUGCCCAAGAUUGCAAAUCUGAGAAACCACCAAGGAGCCGCCACCGAUGCCAAUGCACAAGGGUUUAUUAACAAGCUCGAGCCUGGGUCCAAGUAUACCAACACAGUGGAGCAGGGACUUGGACCCCGAGGUGGGUGGGUUACAGCUGGGAUUUUAUGGGCAGGUUUAGGGGAUUUUCAGAAGAGGUGGAGGAAUUUUUUCAUUCCGAUAUGGGGGAAAGGGUGGGGGAGUUUCUUAAGAUCUGUUUUCAUUCCAAUACUGGACUUUCUGUCUCCAUCAGGAGCGUUCUGAGCUCUGUUUUCAUUCUGAUACGGGACUCUCUGUCAAGGGCGUUCUGCGUUUUUCCUGUAAAGUUUCAGCUCUUAUUCACAGGGGCCUGUGAUGGCUGUACUUGUGUUAAUGCUAAACUUGAGGUGGAGUGGCCUUAAUUUUCUCGGCCUCCACAGAUCUCAGCCCAGGUGGUGAUCUGAGAGUAGGUUUGAGCCCUGUGUUGGUCUCCAUGCUGGGUGUGCAGCCUACUGAAAAAACAAAUCCAGAAUGUUUAUAUGGUUUUGCAUUCCUAGCAACAAUGUAUGACAUUUCCAGUUGUUCUGCAUGUUUGCUACUGUUUGGUGUUUUAAUUUUAUUUAGCUGUUCUAAUAG